This 464-nucleotide ribosomal RNA is filed under the name uncultured bacterium. RNAcentral describes it as "partial 16S ribosomal RNA". It matches the Rfam family "Bacterial small subunit ribosomal RNA", at positions 28 to 507 of the family's 1533-position model. The record is from RNAcentral.
GACGAACGCUGGCGGCGUGCUUAACACAUGCAAGUCGAACGGUAAGGUCCCAGCUUGCUGGGCUCCACGAGUUGAGACCGGGUGAGUAACACGUGGGUGACCUGCCCCGCCCUUCGGGAUAUGCCUAGGAAACUGGGUGUAAUACCGGCUAGGACCGCACGCCGUGGGUGGGGUGGACAGUUAUUUGGUGUGGGAUGGGCGUGGGGCCUAUCCGCUUGUUGGUGGGGUAAUGGCCUAGCAAGGCGGCGACGGGUAGCCGGCCUGGGAGGAGGGACGGCCACAUUAGGACGGAGACGAGGCCCAGACUCCUACGGGAGGCAGCAGUGGGGAAGAUUGUACAGUGGGAGGAGGGAUGAUGCAGCGACGCCGCGUCGGGGAAGACGGCCUGCGGGUUGGAUACUACUUUCACCAUCGACGAAGGGUUAAUGACGGUAGAUGGAGAAGAAGCACCGGCUAACUACGUG